This is a non-coding RNA of Gossypium raimondii (Peruvian cotton), 145 nucleotides long. The record is from Rfam. NCBI's taxonomy places the organism in Eukaryota, Viridiplantae, Streptophyta, Magnoliopsida, Malvales, Malvaceae.
UAUUAAAAUUUUUAUCAAUUUUUAUUGUUAAAAACUGACGUGAUUGACAGAAUAACCAAACAGUUAAACUUAACGUGCCACAUGUAUCUCAUUCUAAUGUACAUGGACUGAUUUUUAAUAGUAGAAAUGGAUGAAAUUUUUAAUA